Molecule: ribosomal RNA, 232 nt
Filed under: uncultured bacterium
Lineage: Bacteria
Description: partial 16S ribosomal RNA
Rfam family: Bacterial small subunit ribosomal RNA
Source: RNAcentral
UGAGGAACAUGACCUUCGGCGGGGGAUAGCCGGCCCAACGGCCGGGUAAUACCGCGUACGACCACAUGGGGACAUCCCUGAGUGGUGAAAGCAGCAAUGCGCCGAUGGAGUGCCUCGCGGCCUAUCAGCUAGUUGGUGAGGUAACGGCUCACCAAGGCGACGACGGGUAGCUGGUCUGAGAGGAUGGCCAGCCACAUUGGGACUGAGACACGGCCCAGACCUNUACGGGGAG